GAUGAACGCUGGCGGCGUGCCUAAUACAUGCAAGUCGAGCGAACGGACGAGAAGCUUGCUUCUCUGAUGUUAGCGGCGGACGGGUGAGUAACACGUGGAUAACCUACCUAUAAGACUGGGAUAACUUCGGGAAACCGGAGCUAAUACCGGAUAAUAUUUUGAACCGCAUGGUUCAAAAGUGAAAGACGGCCUUGCUGUCACUUACAGAUGGAUCCGCGCUGCAUUAGCUAGUUGGUAAGGUAACGGCUUACCAAGGCAACGAUGCGUAGCCGACCUGAGAGGGUGAUCGGCCACACUGGAACUGAGACACGGUCCAGACUCCUACGGGAGGCAGCAGUAGGGAAUCUUCCGCAAUGGGCGAAAGCCUGACGGAGCAACGCCGCGUGAGUGAUGAAGGUCUUCGGAUCGUAAAACUCUGUUAUUAGGGAAGAACAUAUGUGUAAGUAACUGUGCACAUCUUGACGGUACCUAAUCAGAAAGCCACGGCUAACUACGUG
RNAcentral lists this ribosomal RNA (497 nucleotides) under uncultured bacterium. Its description in RNAcentral is "partial 16S ribosomal RNA". It matches the Rfam family "Bacterial small subunit ribosomal RNA", at positions 28 to 507 of the family's 1533-position model. The record is from RNAcentral.